This 444-nucleotide ribosomal RNA is filed under the name uncultured prokaryote. Its description in RNAcentral is "bacterial SSU rRNA". It matches the Rfam family "Bacterial small subunit ribosomal RNA", at positions 355 to 796 of the family's 1533-position model. The record is from RNAcentral.
UGAGGAAUCUUGCGCAAUGGGGGCAACCCUGACGCAGCCACGCCGCGUGCUGGAAGACGGCCCUAUGGGUUGUAAACAGCUUUUACUGGGGAAGAACCUGGACCUUUCGAGGACCACUGACGGUACCCAGUGAAUAAGCACCGGCUAACUCCGUGCCAGCAGCCGCGGUAAUACGGAGGGUGCAAGCGUUGUCCGGAAUCAUUGGGUGUAAAGGGUGCGCAGGCGGGCUACUAAGUCGGGGGUGAAAUCUUGCCGCUUAACGGUAAAAUGGCCUUCGAUACUGGUAGUCUUGAGUCCAGAAGAGGCCGGUGGAAUUCGUGGUGUAGCGGUGAAAUGCAUAGAUAUCACGAAGAACACCAGUGGCGCAGGCGGCCGGCUGGUCUGGUACUGACGCUGAGGCACGAGAGCGUGGGGAGCGAACAGGAUUAGAUACCCCCGUAGUCC